GCGGGAGUUGCCAAGCCUGGUCAAAGGCGUGAGAUGUUUAAAACACGAUGCUCAGAAACCAGGAUAAUUGAGAUACCUCAUCUCUUAGGGGUCCGUGGGUUCAAAUCCCAUCUCCCGCA
Molecule: transfer RNA, 119 nt
Filed under: Candidatus Nitrosocosmicus oleophilus
Lineage: Archaea; Thermoproteati; Nitrososphaerota; Nitrososphaeria; Nitrososphaerales; Nitrososphaeraceae
Also listed under: 1 other name
Description: Candidatus Nitrocosmicus oleophilus tRNA
Rfam family: tRNA
About the family: Transfer RNA (tRNA) molecules are approximately 80 nucleotides in length.
Source: Rfam by way of RNAcentral